AUUGAACGCUGGCGGUAUGCUUAACACAUGCAAGUCGAACGGCAGCACAAAAGGGGUAACCCUUGGGUGGCGAGUGGCGGACGGGUGAGUAAUGCGUGGGGACCUGCCUGACAGUUGGGGAUAACCCGGGGAAACUCGGGCUAAUACCGAAUACAGUUUACGAACGAAAGGAUGGGACCCUCGGGCCAUUCGCUGACAGA
This 200-nucleotide ribosomal RNA is filed under the name uncultured bacterium. RNAcentral's name for it is "partial 16S ribosomal RNA". It matches the Rfam family "Bacterial small subunit ribosomal RNA", at positions 30 to 225 of the family's 1533-position model. The record is from RNAcentral.